CCCAGAAUACAUUUUGGAAACCGAAGCCCCCGCGCUCGCGAAUGAGUCUGGCCGCCCGGUGAGUCACCGCGAGCGGGCGACAAGGAUUCCCAGCAGCUGGUAAUUAAUUGCUCUGUGGCUCGGCCCACGACGGAACCCCAGUCGGGCCUCCCGCCGCCCUGCAGCGGCGCCACCCCUGAGUCACAGCCGUCGGGCCUCCGCCGUCCGGAAGCGGCCUGCGCGCCUGGGCGCCACCAGGGGGCACUGGACUCCGACCCACAGGUCGCCCCGCUUUGAGCCAACGCUGCGCAGGGAAGUCCAGGCUGUCCCCGCUGGCAGAUAGGAACACUUCCAACCGGAGAAGGUCACGUGCUCAGGGACGCAAGGCAGUUCCCAUCUAGAACCAGCUCUUGAACCGUCUCCCGGCUUCUGUCCAGCGCUCCACGGACCCAGCAGCCUUCCGACCCCAAGGUGGAAGUGAGCUCCUUGGAGCAGAGCCUGGCUCCUGACAUCUUCCCUGUGUCCCCAGCAGCCAUCCCCAAGGCAGUUGCCCAGCUAGCACUGUGGGUUGCUGCCACAAGACAGUCUACAAAGAGGUCAGGCUGCUGACAGUGCCUCUGGGGAGCCCACCUCCCUCUCUGCCUCUGGUUGUGGGAGCAUCAACUCCAGCCCAACUGGAGGAGGAUUCAGAGCUCAGGUGUGGCCAAUCAGAGCCCGGGAUUCCCCAUGGCCACAGUGAUUGGCUGGGUGUGGCUCAUCUCUCCACCAGUGAAAACCCUGGGAAAGCAUUUCUAAGAGGAGCCUGGUGGAGGGAGGGAGGCAGGUCCCAAGGCUGCAGGCCCACCGGGCAGCAAGAGCCACGCCUGGAGGGGAGCAAACGCAUUCUCUUCUCCUCCGCUUAGGCCACUGGGAGUUGGUCCCAAUCUAGACGCGUGCCGCUGAUGCCAGGAAACUGGCAGCCUGUCUGAGCUCCUCCAGCAGUCUGUCCCUGGGCCUCCCUGGACCUCAGUGUCUUCUUUAGUAAAAACAGAUUUAUCUGAUUAGAUAAUAAAGAACAUCGUGGUUUUAUAAUUCCCCCUCCACUGCCUAACUUAUUUGCUAGGCUCUUUACACAUUGGGCGUGCCCGUAGCCCCCAGGCCUAAGGAGUAUUCUUACCCUGUCUUACCCAGAAAGGCUGAGC
RNAcentral lists this long non-coding RNA (1160 nucleotides) under Equus asinus (donkey). Its description in RNAcentral is "lncRNA (ENSEASG00005033776.1)". Lineage: Eukaryota; Metazoa; Chordata; Mammalia; Perissodactyla; Equidae. The record is from RNAcentral.